Molecule: RNA transcript, 1718 nt
Organism: Pyrus x bretschneideri (Chinese white pear)
Lineage: Eukaryota; Viridiplantae; Streptophyta; Magnoliopsida; Rosales; Rosaceae
Gene name: serine carboxypeptidase-like 45
Exons: 11
Source: RefSeq, a predicted model, not a curated record
AGCCCCCACUCCGGCCAACAUUGCAGCCCCAGCUGACCUCCGUUCACUCUCUCUUUCCUUCCUUCUCUCUGGGCUCUUUGCUCUCUCCUCCCACUCAACCCAUGAUUUCCCUACCAUGGAACACCAUUGUACUCACUCUAAUUCUCUUCCACAUAACUUCUUCCUCCGUUGAAGCAGAAGCUUCUCCUUCUCUGCUCGACAGAAUUACCGGGUUGCCGGGUCAGCCCCCCGUCGGGUUCCAGCAGUAUUCUGGUUAUGUGACCGUUGAUGCGAAAAAACAGAGAGCUCUGUUUUACUAUUUUGCUGAAGCAGAAAUAGAUCCAGCUUCCAAGCCUCUUGUCCUCUGGCUCAAUGGAGGUCCUGGUUGUUCUUCCCUUGGAGUCGGAGCAUUCUCUGAGAACGGACCGUUUAGGCCUAAAGGAGAAGUCUUGGUUCGAAAUGAACAUAGCUGGAAUAGAGAAGCAAACAUGCUGUACCUGGAGACACCAAUUGGAGUGGGGUUCUCUUACUCAACGGAUACUUCUUCCUAUGAGGCUGUAGCCGAUCACAUCACAGCCAGGGACAAUCUUCUGUUCUUGCAAAAGUGGUUUGAAAAAUUCCCGCAAUACAGAAAUAGAAGCUUGUAUAUUACUGGAGAAAGCUAUGCUGGUCACUUUGUUCCUCAGCUAGCAGAACUCAUGCUCCAGUUCAAGGAACAUCACUUCAAUUUGAAAGGAAUUGCUUUGGGUAAUCCAGUCCUAGAAUAUGCAACUGACUUCAAUUCAAGAGCUGAGUUCUUCUGGUCUCAUGGAUUGAUAUCGGAUUCAACUUACAAAAUGUUCAGUUCCGUUUGCAACUACUCGCGGUUUGUGAGUGAAUAUUACAGAGGCUCAGUUUCACCUAUUUGUUCGAGGGUGAUGAGCCAAGUGAGCAGAGAAACCAGUAAAUUUGUUGACAAGUAUGAUGUCACCCUUGAUGUUUGUAUAUCAUCUGUGUUUUCCCAAUCCAAAGCCCUCCUUCCUCAGCAAGUUGCUGAUUCAAUAGAUGUAUGUGUUGAGGAUGAAGUAGUUAAUUAUCUGAACAGGCCAGACGUGCAGAAGGCGCUUCAUGCUCGUCUUGUUGGAGUUCGACAGUGGGCAGUUUGCAGCAACAUACUGGAUUAUCAGGUGCUGGAUGUGGAGAUACCAACGAUCACAAUCGUAGGCAAACUUAUCAAAGCAGGAAUACCGGUCUUAGUUUACAGCGGCGACCAAGAUUCUGUUAUCCCGUUAACUGGAAGUCGAACAUUAGUUCAUGGACUUGCAGAGCAGUUAAGACUAAACACCACUGUGCCUUAUAGAGUCUGGUUUGAAGGACAACAGGUUGGUGGAUGGACUCAAGUUUACGGUAAUAUUCUUUCUUUUGCCACCGUUAGAGGAGCAUCACACGAAGCGCCAUUCUCGCAGCCUGAGAGAUCACUCGUGCUGUUCAAGUCGUUUUUGAAGGGCCGGCCUCUGCCAGAAGUGUUCUGAUCUACUGAUAAGUUACAUUGUCGCCGGAUUGAGAUUAUAAGAAGUUUGGUUGCAAAGGUUUAAUCAUCUGAGCAUGAAAAAAAUUGCAUUUGUUUGUUAUUUGUAACAGGUUACAUGGGUUUGUCCAUGCUGUGGAAAGUAGAAGAAUUUUGUAAACAUCUCAAGGAAAAACAGGAAAGAAAGAAGCACUCCAAAAGAUUAGUUGGAAUAUUAUGUAACUCAACACAA